AUACGUAGGGGGCGAGCGUUGUCCGGAUUUACUGGGCGUAAAGGGUGAGUAGGCGGUUAUUUGUGUCAGAUGUAAAAGGCUAUUGCUUAACCAUAGUUAGCAUUUGAAACUGUAUGACUUGAGUGCAGGCGAGGUAAGUGGAAUUCCUAGUGUAUCGGUGAAAUGCGUAGAUAUUAGGAGGAACACCAGUUGCGAAGUCGACUUACUGGACUGUAACUGACGCUGAGUCACGAAAGCGGGGGUAGCAAACAGGAUUAGAUACCCUGGUAGUCCACGCUGUAAACGAUGAGUGCUAGGUGUUGGCCAGCGAUGGUCAGGGCCGCAGUAAACACAUUAAGCACUCCGCCUGGGGAGUACGGUCGCAAGACUGAAACUCAAAGGAAUUGACGGGG
This 392-nucleotide ribosomal RNA is filed under the name uncultured bacterium. Its description in RNAcentral is "partial 16S ribosomal RNA". It matches the Rfam family "Bacterial small subunit ribosomal RNA", at positions 523 to 918 of the family's 1533-position model. The record is from RNAcentral.